UACGUAGGGUGCAAGCGUUAUCCGGAAUUAUUGGGCGUAAAGAGCUCGUAGGCGGUUUGUCGCGUCUGCUGUGAAAACUGGAGGCUCAACCUCCAGCCUGCAGUGGGUACGGGCAAACUAGAGUGCGGUAGGGGAGAUUGGAAUUCCUGGUGUAGCGGUGGAAUGCGCAGAUAUCAGGAGGAACACCGGUGGCGAAGGCGGGUCUCUGGGUAGUAACUGACGCUGAGGAACGAAAGCGUGGGUAGCGAACAGG
This 253-nucleotide ribosomal RNA is filed under the name uncultured bacterium. RNAcentral describes it as "partial 16S ribosomal RNA". It matches the Rfam family "Bacterial small subunit ribosomal RNA", at positions 524 to 776 of the family's 1533-position model. The record is from RNAcentral.